GACGAACCGAGCGACCGUUAUUCGGAAUCACUGGGCUUAAAGGGUGCGUAGGCGGGCCCGUCAGUCAGGGGUGAAAUCCCACGGCCCAACCGUGGAAGUGCCUCUGAUACUGCGGGCCUGGAGGGGGAUAGGGGCGUGCGGAACUUCCGGUGGAGCGGUGAAAUGCGUAGAUAUCGGAAGGAACACCGGUGGCGAAAGCGGCGCGCUGGAUCCCUACUGACGCUGAGGCACGAAAGCCAGGGGAGCAAACGGG
This 253-nucleotide ribosomal RNA is filed under the name uncultured bacterium. RNAcentral describes it as "partial 16S ribosomal RNA". It matches the Rfam family "Bacterial small subunit ribosomal RNA", at positions 524 to 776 of the family's 1533-position model. The record is from RNAcentral.